This 490-nucleotide ribosomal RNA is filed under the name uncultured bacterium. Its description in RNAcentral is "partial 16S ribosomal RNA". It matches the Rfam family "Bacterial small subunit ribosomal RNA", at positions 30 to 507 of the family's 1533-position model. The record is from RNAcentral.
AUUGAACGCUGGCGGCAGGCCUAACACAUGCAAGUCGAACGGUAACAGGAAACAGCUUGCUGUUUCGCUGACGAGUGGCGGACGGGUGAGUAAUGUCUGGGAAACUGCCUGAUGGAGGGGGAUAACUACUGGAAACGGUAGCUAAUACCGCAUAACGUCGCAAGACCAAAGAGGGGGACCCUCGGGCCUCUUGCCAUCGGAUGUGCCCAGAUGGGAUUAGCUUGUUGGUGGGGUAACGGCUCACCAAGGCGACGAUCCCUAGCUGGUCUGAGAGGAUAACCAGCCACACUGGAACUGAGACACGGUCCAGACUCCUACGGGAGGCAGCAGUGGGGAAUAUUGCACAAUGGGCGCAAGCCUGAUGCAGCCAUGCCGCGUGUAUGAAGAAGGCCUUCGGGUUGUAAAGUACUUUCAGCGGGGAGGAAGGGAGUAAAGUUAAUACCUUUGCUCAUUGACGUUACCCGCAGAAGAAGCACCGGCUAACUCCGUG